UUAGAGUUUGAUCCUGGCUCAGGACGAACGCUGGCGGCGUGCCUAACACAUGCAAGUCGAGCGAAUGAAGUUCCUUCGGGAAUGGAUUUAGCGGCGGACGGGUGAGUAACACGUGGGCAACCUGCCUCAUAGAGGGGAAUAGCCUUCCGAAAGGGAGAUUAAUACCGCAUAAGAUUGUAGUACCGCAUGGUACAGCAAUUAAAGGAGCAAUCCGCUAUGAGAUGGGCCCGCGGCGCAUUAGCUAGUUGGUGAGGUAACGGCUCACCAAGGCGACGAUGCGUAGCCGACCUGAGAGGGUGAUCGGCCACAUUGGGACUGAGACACGGCCCAGACUCCUACGGGAGGCAGCAGUGGGGAAUAUUGCACAAUGGGGGAAACCCUGAUGCAGCAACGCCGCGUGAGUGAUGACGGCCUUCGGGUUGUAAAGCUCUGUCUUCAGGGACGAUAAUGACGGUACCUGAGGAGGAAGCCACGGCUAACUACGUGCCAGCAGCCGCGGUAAUACGUAGGUGGCGAGCGUUGUCCGGAUUUACUGGGCGUAAAGGGAGCGUAGGCGGAUUUUUAAGUGAGAUGUGAAAUACUCGGGCUUAACCCGAGGUGCUGCUUUUCAAACUGGAAGUCUAGAAGGGCAGGAAGAGGAGAAAGGGGAAAUUCCUAGUGUAGCGGUGAAAUGCGUAAAAAAAUAAGGAAAGAACCACCGGGGGGGAAGGCGCUUUCUCUGGGAUUGUAACUGA
This 734-nucleotide ribosomal RNA is filed under the name uncultured bacterium. Its description in RNAcentral is "bacterial SSU rRNA". It matches the Rfam family "Bacterial small subunit ribosomal RNA", at positions 1 to 743 of the family's 1533-position model. The record is from RNAcentral.